AUUACUGGGCGUAAAGCGUGCGCAGGCGGUUCGGAAAGAGAAAGAUGUGAAAUCCCAGGCUUAACUUUGGAACUGCAUUUUUAACUACCGAGCUAGAGAGUGUGUCAGAGGGAGAACGGAAUUCCGCGUGUGGCAGUGAAAUGCGUAGAUAUGCCAGGAACACCGAUGGCGAGGCAGCCUCCUGGGAUAACACUGACGCUCAUGCACAGCGUGGGAGCAAACAGGAUUAGAUGCCCUGGUAGUCCGCCCUAAACGAUGUCAACUAGCUGUUAGGGCCUUCGGGCCUUGGUAGCGCAGCUAACGCGUGAAGUUGACCAUGCAAGUACGGUCGCAAGAUUAAAACUCAAAGGAACGGACGGGGACCCGCACAAGCGGUGGAUGAUGUGGAUUAAUUCCGAUGCAACGCGAAAACCUUACCUACCCUUGACAUGUCUGGAAUCCCGAAGAGAUUUGGGAGUGCUCGCAAGAGAACCGGAACACGGAGUGCUGCAUGGCUGUCGUCAGCUCGUGUCGUGAGAUGUUGGGUUAAGUCCCGCAACGAGCGCAAUAUAACGUCAUUAGUUGCUACGAGAGGGCAUCGUGAGGACUGUGACAAACCGGGAAGGUGGGGAUGACGUCAAGUCCUCACUUGAAGCAUAUAGGUAGGGCUUCACACGUCAUACAAUGGUCGGGACAGAGGGUCGCCAACCCCGCGAGGGAGCCAAUCCCAGAAACCCGAUCAUAGUCCGGAUCGCAGUCUGCAACUCGACUGCGUGAAGUCGGAAUCGCUAGUAAUCGCGGAUCAGCAUGUCGCGGUGAAUACGUUCAGAUCUUGUACACACCGCCGUCACACCAUGGGAGUGGGUUUACCCAGAAAUGUAGUUAGCCUAACCGUAAGGAGGGCGAUUACCACGGUAGGAUUCAUGACUGGGGUGAAGUCGUAUAGGUAG
RNAcentral lists this unclassified non-coding RNA (929 nucleotides) under uncultured Bordetella sp. RNAcentral's name for it is "partial 16S-23S ribosomal RNA intergenic spacer". It matches the Rfam family "Bacterial small subunit ribosomal RNA", at positions 550 to 1499 of the family's 1533-position model. Lineage: Bacteria; Pseudomonadati; Pseudomonadota; Betaproteobacteria; Burkholderiales; Alcaligenaceae. The record is from RNAcentral.